Molecule: ribosomal RNA, 253 nt
Filed under: uncultured bacterium
Lineage: Bacteria
Description: partial 16S ribosomal RNA
Rfam family: Bacterial small subunit ribosomal RNA
Source: RNAcentral
UACGUAGGGUGCAAGCGUUGUCCGGAAUUAUUGGGCGUAAAGAGCUCGUAGGCGGUUCGUCGCGUCGGCUGUGAAAACCUGAGGCUCAACCUCAGGCCUGCAGUCGAUACGGGCGGACUUGAGUACUGCAGGGGAGACUGGAAUUCCUGGUGUAGCGGUGAAAUGCGCAGAUAUCAGGAGGAACACCGGUGGCGAAGGCGGGUCUCUGGACAUUUCCUGACGCUGAGGCACGAAAGCCAGGGGAGCAAACGGG